CGCGCAGGCGGCCAAGUCAGUCGAAUGUGAAAGCCCCCGGCUCAACUGGGGAAGGUCGUUCGAUACUGCUUGGCUCGAAGAUAGGAGAGGGAAGUGGAAUUUCAGGUGUAGUGGUGAAACGCGUAGAUAUCUGAAGGAACACCAGUGGCGAAGGCGACUUUCUGGCCUAUUCUUGACGCUGAGGCGCGAAAGCUAGGGGAGCGAACG
RNAcentral lists this ribosomal RNA (207 nucleotides) under uncultured bacterium. RNAcentral describes it as "partial 16S ribosomal RNA". It matches the Rfam family "Bacterial small subunit ribosomal RNA", at positions 568 to 774 of the family's 1533-position model. The record is from RNAcentral.